AAGUAGCUGGAAUAUGCGUCAGGUAAAUUGAUCCCUGGGGCCAUACCAUUACUCUUGGGAGUUGCCUCUGUACAGAUUGCGGUCUGUUUAUUGCGACGCCCACCUGCUUAGCAGGUCACAGAGGAUAAUGAGACCAACGGUAUUCUGGCUACACC
RNAcentral lists this non-coding RNA (155 nucleotides) under Candidatus Puniceispirillum sp. TMED52. Its description in RNAcentral is "6S RNA". It matches the Rfam family "6S / SsrS RNA". From Rfam's summary of the family: E. coli 6S RNA was the first non coding RNA to be sequenced, but its function was unknown until recently. It consists of 184 nucleotides that fold into an extended hairpin structure with a large single-stranded internal bulge. Lineage: Bacteria; Pseudomonadati; Pseudomonadota; Alphaproteobacteria; Puniceispirillales (SeqCode); Puniceispirillaceae (SeqCode). RNAcentral also lists the same sequence under 1 other name. The record is from RNAcentral.